GAUGAACGCUGGCGGCGUGCUUAACACAUGCAAGUCGAACGGAAAGGCCAGUGCUUGCACUGGUACUCGAGUGGCGAACGGGUGAGUAACACGUGGGUGAUCUGCCCUGCACUUCGGGAUAAGCCUGGGAAACUGGGUCUAAUACCGGAUAGGACAAUGGUUUGGAUGCCGUUGUGGAAAGUUUUUUCGGUGUGGGAUGAGCUCGCGGCCUAUCGGCUUGUUGGUGGGGUAAUGGCCUACCAAGGCGUCGACGGGUAGCCGGCCUGAGAGGGUGUACGGCCACAUUGGGACUGAGAUACGGCCCAGACUCCUACGGGAGGCAGCAGUGGGGAAUAUUGCACAAUGGGCGCAAGCCUGAUGCAGCGACGCCGCGUGGGGGAUGACGGCCUUCGGGUUGUAAACUCCUUUCGCUAGGGACGAAGCGUAUUUGUGACGGUACCUGGAGAAGAAGCACCGGCUAACUACGUG
This 468-nucleotide ribosomal RNA is filed under the name uncultured bacterium. RNAcentral's name for it is "partial 16S ribosomal RNA". It matches the Rfam family "Bacterial small subunit ribosomal RNA", at positions 28 to 507 of the family's 1533-position model. The record is from RNAcentral.